Molecule: long non-coding RNA, 649 nt
Organism: Carcharodon carcharias (great white shark)
Lineage: Eukaryota; Metazoa; Chordata; Chondrichthyes; Lamniformes; Lamnidae
Exons: 3
Source: RefSeq, a predicted model, not a curated record
GGGCGGGGGACAGACUUUUUAGGGAGAAGUGGGAUAGGCUUCGGGUCUCUGUCCUGGAUUACCGUCCCUCGCCCGGCCAGGGGUGAGAGUCCGGCCUCCGGCCACACCGACCUGCGACGAGAACAUGAUAACCGAAUCCACAACAAACGACAUGGCCCCAGCCCGGCUCCCGCUACGUCAUCAACACGCGACCACACGCUGACGUCAUGUAGCGCGACGGAGGGUAAAGAAACCAUAGCAACCGGGGGAGGGGCCUGAGUGACAGAAGAUGGAGAAAGCUCAGAAUAUCUCAGGAGGAAAUAGACUUGGCUGCUGAAAACAAUGAGAUGAAAACCCUUGAGUUUUCUGUGACUAAACUGUGGAUAUUAAUAUUUCUUUUACAGUGGGUCACUGGGUUCAAUUGGUGAACAUUUUCUACAGUUGCCCAAAAGGUUGCUAGUCAUGCCUCUUCUCACAUCUCUAUCUCUAGCAACUUUUCUAUGCUGCCAUCAUAUCAUGAAGGGGCAAGUAGAAGAAGCAGCCCCCAAAAACUACCUUAGCCAGUACGGGAACUGAACCCACAUCAUCCGUGCCAUCAAGCACCACAACCUAACCAUCUAAGCUGACCGGCCUUACUAAUCUUUCUUUCCCUCCCGUUAUUUUGCUUUCU